RNAcentral lists this long non-coding RNA (2192 nucleotides) under Triticum aestivum (bread wheat). Its description in RNAcentral is "long non-coding RNA (TAES_LNC008705)". The record is from RNAcentral. Lineage: Eukaryota; Viridiplantae; Streptophyta; Magnoliopsida; Poales; Poaceae.
UUGUGUCCUGAUCCGUUCGUCUCAAUCGAUCUCCCUUCCUGUAACGUAGGUGGUUGCCGUUGUUUGCUGGGGGUGUGCCGUGACCAUUCAUGCCGGUUGAUGUUGAUGGCGUGCUUCCUUCCAGUGGCACUUCUUCUCAUAUUGAUCGGUAAUUUCUCCUCAUCGGAACCAUUAUGUUUGUUUUUCAUUUUGUACUAUGUCGAUGGACACUUCUUUUUUGAUAUGUGCAGCAAUUAUGCAAUAAAAUAUCUUCUUUGAUCAUGUCACCUGCUACAGAUCAGCAUAUGUACAUGAAGUCAAUUGUCUGGAGCACUUGACCAUUGUUUAAUUGAACAACUGAAUUGGUAACUAAGUGAAUGCAUACGUUCAACCACGAAUUAAACACCUCUAAUGAUUCUGAGUAUUUGCUCAGCUCCUAAGAUGGAAAAACCUAGGUAUAGUCGCCCAUGUUGUUUGCUUACACAUCUUUCUUUUUUCCUUUAUACCACCUAUUCAGUUCAUUGUAUCUGAAUAUUAUUCGAAUAAUGUUGAGCCGGUGCAGGUUACAUGGAUUUGUGAUUAGCUCUUCUCGAAAUCUAUGAACCUUGGCUUUGGAAAUACACAUGCUAUCUUGACUAUUCCUAGGCGCCUGCCAAUUUUACCAUUUGAUGAUCACAAUUACUAUAUCAUAGUUGCUGUAAGAUGAGUUUUAAACAUAUGCCACCUACAUAUAUUAUGAAGUGUGAUUUGAUAUAUAUUGCAAAGAAAUAGCAAUGCCUACUUGUUCUGGAUAUAAUUUUGUAUCAGUUCACAGCUGAUCAUACAUUUUUUUUGUUAACAUAAGAAAUCUUUGGCUUCUCCUGAUGUACCAUUUUUAUUUGUACAUAAGAACCUUUGACUUCUCCAACCACUGAGUACUGAAGUUUCCAUAUUUCUGGAUUUCUCAAUGGUCAAUCAAUUUGUUACCAUAUAGUUGAGCACUUCAGCAAUCUUCCAAUAUAUGAUUAUAAUUUUACUGGCAGGAAGCUAAACAAGAAAAUAUAAUUAACUUUGUUAGGUACGUGGAGCAAUACUAAGUCCUAUAAAUCAUGUGUUAGUAUUGUACUAGAAUUUAUGAAUACUUGUAAUUUUGUUCCAUGAUCCAUGUUAUUGCAUGCCCACAUUAUUUUUCUCCAGGUAUUUUUGGAUGCUUAAAAAAUUACCUCUCACCAGAGAUUUUAUUUUGAGGCAUGCCACAUUUGAGUUUAACACAAUAGAGAAUAUUUUUUUAAUUCACACAAAAAGGGAAAACAACAGCUACAUGGGCCGGCCCUAUAGUGGUUUGCAUGCCCCUAUAGUGGUUUGCAUGUGCGUUAUAGCGACAAUACGUCACAAAAGGCGAUGAAUGGGAUUUUCUGUCCUUGCUAUCAUAUUGUUUUUUCCUCCGGCAACCAAGCCAAUUCUGCUAGAUUGAAAGUGAGAUAUCUGGUGUUCUUGGUAUGGACUACUCUGAAAGCCAGUCUUCAGCAGGGUUUUUCCUCUCAGAAAUGUAGUUUUUUCUAUAAGAAUAGAUACUGAAUCCCGAAUACUUUGAUUGUUGUGCAGUGAAAGUACCGAUAUUCACUAACCUUUCUGAUUCAUCCCAUUGAACUCUUCUAUGUAAUGCACUGAGCCAUUGGCAGUGUUGAAAUUGGAGUAAAGAACAAUGUUGAAAUUGCUCUGAUUAUUACUCAAUUAUGUUGUACUCCCGAACUUGUUGGAGGGUGACAACUUAGAAGUUUCACGUCUCAUUUUUCCAGUUUCAUUUAGUCAUUUUAAUUUUAACAUUGAGAGGGCGCCAUGAUCUUAUUAGGAAUAUCAGCUUAUUUUGCAUGAUUAAUUGAUGUUUUUUACAUUCAUAUUUUACAGCAUUUUGCUCGGGGUGCUCAUGCCUUUUGCCAUGCGUGGAGAUCAGAUCUGUUACAGGCACAUGCCAACAGAAAUAUUGUUAGCAAGACACGUAAGCACGGGAUUAUGCAAAAGAAUAGUAAAACAUUUGUUGCAAGAAUUAUAUCCUGCUGAUGUGUUGCGUAUUAAAUUGUUUUUCUACCUCUGAAAUAUUUCCUGCAUUAUUUCAGUCAAACGCUCCCAAAGGACAUUUAGGCUCAAAUGUGUUGUAUUGAGACAUACAUAUUUCGUAGACUGUUAUAGCAAGAUUUAGAGAAAAACAUUGGUGUGUCAAAUAUACAUUCAUG